UAUUAAACGUUGGGAGUGGUUUUAGUUGUAAGCCAGUUAACAUCGACGUUUCGAAGAGGUUCUAUUUCGUGUCGAUACUUUAUAUACCAUGAACCGAAGAUCAGUGCUGGAUUAUCAUUUGGAAGGUUCAAACUACGGAAAAGCGAUCUUUAAUGUCUUCUUUCGCAGCAUAGGAAAAUUCUUAGGAACUGUCAUUACCCCUUGAAGUUGACAACUUCUUGUAUCGUUCAAGAUGCAUAACCGGUUAUGUAUCUAUAACGACACCCUGUAGAUAUUAUAACGCGUUACGGGAUGAUAUCGAUCUUGGCAAGAUUCUACUAGCAUCCAGUCAAGAACCAACAGCCAUAUUGUCAAUUACUGUAAUACACAUGGGCACCGUACAUUAUUUUUCCAUACGAGAUUGCCGAUAUAGAAAAACAACGAGGCAGUAAUGGCCGAAGAAGAUUGUCACUACUGCUGCACAAUUGAUCAUCAGGUGUGUCGUUGCAAUUAUCAUCCGGUCGAGGAGUUAAUUAAGGAUUGCGGGAGGGGAAGGGGUGGCGCAGGGUCCAAUGAGCUCGAUGCGGUUUCUGCGAUAAUGAAUUGUCGGUGAUGGUAAUUGAGUGAACGUACAGCAGGCAAUGUAACGAGGAGCAAUGUAUACGUCAGCAAGGUAUCUGCGGUGUUACUGUUGAGGUGCAACCAGGUAUCCCCUUCCUUGCGAAUAGCGGCCAACCGGGUAGGUCCGCUCGGCAGACACGUGGAACCGGGCUAAGUAAGGUAAGCAAGGUAAGUAAUGGUGGGUAAGGUAAGGAUGGCACGCGCGCCGUGUUCUAUCGCUUCCGGGCAUCAACGUGCUCGCGAGCCGCGGCUAAUUGCUCUUUAAUGCGCAAGAGCAACGCGCCGCGUUUCUAUGUGUAUCUGCCUUUCGCGAUUCACUCAACUUUAGAUUCUAGAUUCGGCGAUUCCUGCGACUUGGGUCGCGACGGACCAGUGCAGGUACAGUUACUUAACUCGUUACUUUUUUAUUUCACUUAUUUCUCGUUAUUGUUCAUUGUUACUCGCGACUUUGUAAAAUUAAUUAAUAGCAUUGUGUAUCAGACUUGUGGCAAUGCGUGACGAAAAAAGAAAGAGAGAGGAAGUACUUAAGUGCCAUAACUGUUAGACAGGGAUAAAAUUAAUCAUUUUAUAUUAUUUUUUCUAUCAACUAUUGGGUACUACUGACAAAAAUAGAUAUCGUAUGUCGUGUAGUUAACUUGUCGGGGAAAAUUCGUUAGCACAGGUGAAAACGGAACUGAAGGGAAACGUGUGUAUCGCUGAUCAUUCGAAAUUCUGACUCUUUCGGUUGGAUACGUGAUAUUUAUUUGUUCAAAUGGGAGGUUCGCGGGAGGAAGAUAAAAUGAAUAAAAAGUAUUUUAAAAUGGAGUAAAAUAGAGAGGCCAUUCGCCGAGGCAUGACCGCACGUCCAGCAGAAGCUCAUACAUAUGUAGUCAGCGCCGUCAGAGCCGCGGUGCAGGACCCUCCGGAAAAAUGAAUAUGCAGCUAUGUACGCAGGGCAUUAUUUUAUGAAAUUUAUACCGGUAUUCCCCGCCGCACCCCUUGCUCACCGUGAGACUUUUCCACGCUAUGGUACGACGACAAAGUGCCACCUGUGAUAAAGGUGCAUAUUCAAUGUCCAACCCAAUAAAAUUUUUGCCGUACGUAAAAUCUUCGUACCUACCCCAAAUUUCGCGGUAAACGAUAAAUACACCGUUAUGUAAACAAGACUUGGCAGUACAUUUUUUUAAUAAUUGAUACGUGCUCUCAUAACCUCAAUUUGUUGUUUCAGAUUGACGUUUUCCGACAGAUUCCAAAACUUGAAUCGUGCACAUUAAGUCACGUGGGGGUGGAGUCAGUUCUACGUAUAAAAUUGUGUAGUCCCUUAUCGUCCGGGAGGAAACGCAACAUUAAAUUGAGUCCAGUAGGGAGUGGGGUGUUUCGGUGGGUGCGCCUGAGAUUUCCUGUCUGGACUCUGGAUGUUAGAAAGGAUGGUUUCCUAUGUACGCGGCUGUAGCUACGUGUAUGUAUAUACUUUGUGUUUUUAGCGAUUUUUAACAGUUAACUCGUAUAUACAUAUAUACUAUAUAUGCCAAUGACGUUACAGUCGCGGAAGUGUUGACGGAGUAAGGAGUCCACAUAUGUAAUACAUAUUAAUGUAUUCAGUUUUAAUAAAAAUAUAUGUAACUCGUUUAUAACAAAAGUUACUGAAGAGAAUCGCGAAUCUAUUUACUGUCUAUUGACACCGUUAUGUGCUUUGACAUCAAUAUAUGUAUAUAAUGUAGAUUCUAGCUACUGUGUUAUUUUUUUAUUAGGCGAAGUUCCGUAGAAUCGUAAUAUCGCAAUAUCUAAAUAACUUUAUCAUUAAUGCAGCAGUGGACUCGCAUUACUAGGAAUUUGUAUAUAAUGGUGCUAUGUACAUAUGUAAUGCGCCGGGGGCCGCACAUAAUAGCGAUAUCAUAAGAUACGAACCAAUAGUCGCAAUUGUAUGGAAAUAUGUAUCUAUGAAUGAAGACACUUUCAUUUAUGAAACCAGAUACUUAUGUACCGGACACGGGCGUUGUAACAUCCUGCUAUUAUGUGUCCUUAUACUGGCCUUCUUAUUCUCUUGACGCUACCGUAGAACUAAACCCGCCUGUGCGUACGCGCCUUACGUUUUACCAUUAUGUCGGUCAUUUAUUUGGUACUUCAGUGGCUGCUAUUUUACAUUCUCUACUUCUUUGUACUCACUCACGUAUAAAUAAACUG
Molecule: long non-coding RNA, 2763 nt
Organism: Cephus cinctus (wheat stem sawfly)
Lineage: Eukaryota; Metazoa; Arthropoda; Insecta; Hymenoptera; Cephidae
Exons: 4
Source: RefSeq, a predicted model, not a curated record